UCACAAGAUUGAAUAGGACCGGGCU
RNAcentral lists this microRNA (25 nucleotides) under Tribolium castaneum (red flour beetle). Its description in RNAcentral is "tca-miR-11648-5p". The record is from miRBase by way of RNAcentral. Lineage: Eukaryota; Metazoa; Arthropoda; Insecta; Coleoptera; Tenebrionidae.